This 69-nucleotide non-coding RNA is filed under the name Homo sapiens (human). The record is from Rfam by way of RNAcentral. Lineage: Eukaryota; Metazoa; Chordata; Mammalia; Primates; Hominidae.
ACAGCACUAGAUGUAAGACUGGGUGACCUCUUCUAAUGUCCAAUGUCCUUUGUCUUAAGAUUUGGUGCA